GUUUGUCAUGUUCUCUAAGGUGAUCACGUCUAUCUUUUUACUUUUUCCAGUCAAUGAGUUUAAACUAAGUGAUCAUGGUUGUUUUCAUGCAAUUCUAUUUCUAAGAAAGAGAAAAAAGAACACUCAAUUGAAAUUUAAAUACAAAACAAUAAGUAAACACUCAAUAAAUGGUCAUAGGAAAAAUAAUAAAUCUAACAUGCAACCCUAAAUGGUAGAGAAAAAUGAAAUGGUAGAAAUAAAACCCGCACCUCAUUGGGUGUUUAUACAAAUGAAGUGACCUGAAACAUAUAUUAAGAAUAUAGUCGGAAUAAGAAUAUAGUCGGAAUGAACAUUGACGUUCCAUCGUGUUCAUAUCUUGAUGAUUUUCCACCUCCAAAGGCCUAAUAUAAUCCUGACUUAAAUCUAGACUGGGUACAUACAAUAGGAAAGAAACAAUUGCUCAAGGCAAAAUCAACCACAACCAUGAAACAAACAAAAAGAGUCAAGCAAUUGGAAGAAGAUUCAAAAUCAAUCAAUUUGAGUCUCAGGGCCGGCCUUUACAAUUCACAUGUCGAUCCCUCUACACACCUAUCCCAAUUCAUUUUCAUGGCUUACAUUCAUUAGUGACUAUUUGUGUUCUCGCAUAGCCAUUAACACCUAUAAGUCCCUAAGACAUGUUCUAGGUGAGCCCCAAAAUAUAUCCAUGGAAUCAAGCAUCGUACUUAAGCAUACAUUUAGAAUUCACAUGCAUUAUGAGAAAUAAACAUGUAGGCAGGCCCUCAGGCCUUAUUUCUCAAACAAUCAAAUAAUUUU
RNAcentral lists this long non-coding RNA (792 nucleotides) under Eucalyptus grandis. Its description in RNAcentral is "long non-coding RNA (EGRA_LNC004655)". Lineage: Eukaryota; Viridiplantae; Streptophyta; Magnoliopsida; Myrtales; Myrtaceae. The record is from RNAcentral.